AGUGAACGCUGGCGGUAGGCCUAACACAUGCAAGUCGAACGGCAGCACAGUAAGAGCUUGCUCUUACGGGUGGCGAGUGGCGGACGGGUGAGGAAUACAUCGGAAUCUACUUUUUCGUGGGGGAUAACGUAGGGAAACUUACGCUAAUACCGCAUACGACCUACGGGUGAAAGCAGGGGAUCUUCGGACCUUGCGCGAUUGAAUGAGCCGAUGUCGGAUUAGCUAGUUGGCGGGGUAAAGGCCCACCAAGGCGACGAUCCGUAGCUGGUCUGAGAGGAUGAUCAGCCACACUGGAACUGAGACACGGUCCAGACUCCUACGGGAGGCAGCAGUGGGGAAUAUUGGACAAUGGGCGCAAGCCUGAUCCAGCCAUACCGCGUGGGUGAAGAAGGCCUUCGGGUUGUAAAGCCCUUUUGUUUGGAAAGAAAAGCAGCAGGUUAAUACCCCGCUGUUCUGACGGUACCCACAGAAUAAGCACCGGCUAACUUCGUG
This 492-nucleotide ribosomal RNA is filed under the name uncultured bacterium. Its description in RNAcentral is "partial 16S ribosomal RNA". It matches the Rfam family "Bacterial small subunit ribosomal RNA", at positions 29 to 507 of the family's 1533-position model. The record is from RNAcentral.